AAUUUCUACAAAGUCAAUCUUUAUUUUGCAUUGUGUAUAAAUUUGUCUGUCACAAAAUUUGUUUUGCUUAAUAUUCAUAUGUUGAGUAGUUUCUUUGUGGUGAAGUUACUAUAGAGCAACUUAGAAGUUAAAGAAUUUUAGAGUUGAUAUAAUGGUACUUGUACUCACAAUGCAAUUAUGAAUACCACGUGAUAUCUCAUCGCAAAUCCUCACAGCAGGUCGUUUUACAAAUGAGCCUCAUUUUGGAUGAUGGCAGUGGCCUAUAGUAAAUAAUAUAAGAAAAAAGAUUGCAAAAAUAAUAAAAACACUAAAUUAAAGAAUGGCUUCAUGUAUACACCUUGGUUCUUACUAUGACGACUUUGAAAUAAAUGGCAGAUGAAUCAAGAGAACGUUAGAAAUGUUAGUACGUAUCCAUGGUUUUAUAACAAACAUGUAGCUAUUCAAUUUGCAGAUUGAAGACCUCUCCAUUUCAAGGAAGAAAAGAAUUUCUGUUGGAAUUGAAAGUUUUUAUAGUUCGAAUACCGCAGUGUUAUUCUGAAAUAUUGGAGCCAAUGAUAGUUUUAUAACGAGUAUUUAUUACAAAGCGUUACAGCUGAAACUAUAACAACUCAUUUUGAAUGGAGAAAUCAAAAAAUAAUUUAAUUGGUUUUAUAUACCAAAAUAUGCAACAAGUUUUUAUGAAUGCACUUAAGGACGAAUCCCAUAAAAAAGAACUUGAUGACGUUUAUAAAACAUCUUAAAAGUUUGAACUGAUUGCUUUAUUUCAAAAAGAACCUAAGUGCUGAUGAAAAACUUUAUACCUCACGUGGUUAUUUUGGCUUCUCAGUUUAUGCCUGAAAACUAAAGUCGUAGGCAAAAGAUUGGUCUCCGCUUUAAAAUGCAAUUUUCAAUAAAAGCAUACAUUGUCUAAAUUAAGUAAAAUUUAUUUUACAGUUUUUAAAAUAAUUAUUUAUUAAAAUUUUAAAAAUUAAAAUUUUGAUCAAUAGCUUUUGAUGUUAUUCAUAUUUUCAUCAAUACGUCUUUGAGAAAUCAGAUUUUUAAAACUAA
Long non-coding RNA from Hydra vulgaris (swiftwater hydra), 1047 nucleotides. RefSeq lists it as uncharacterized. The record is from RefSeq and is a predicted model, not a curated record. NCBI's taxonomy places the organism in Eukaryota, Metazoa, Cnidaria, Hydrozoa, Anthoathecata, Hydridae.